GCCUGGGUGGCUUAACGGUUAAGCACCUGCCUUCAGCCCAGGGCGUGAUCCUGGAGUCCUGGGAUCAAGUCCCACAUCAGGCU
This 83-nucleotide transfer RNA is filed under the name Canis lupus familiaris (dog). It matches the Rfam family "tRNA". From Rfam's summary of the family: Transfer RNA (tRNA) molecules are approximately 80 nucleotides in length. Their secondary structure includes four short double-helical elements and three loops (D, anti-codon, and T loops). Further hydrogen bonds mediate the characteristic L-shaped molecular structure. tRNAs have two regions of fundamental functional importance: the anti-codon, which is responsible for specific mRNA codon recognition, and the 3' end, to which the tRNAs corresponding amino acid is attached (by aminoacyl-tRNA synthetases). tRNAs cope with the degeneracy of the genetic code in two manners: having more than one tRNA (with a specific anti-codon) for a particular amino acid; and 'wobble' base-pairing, i.e. permitting non-standard base-pairing at the 3rd anti-codon position. RNAcentral also lists the same sequence under 1 other name. The record is from Rfam by way of RNAcentral. Lineage: Eukaryota; Metazoa; Chordata; Mammalia; Carnivora; Canidae.